GACGAACGCUGGCGGCGUGCUUAACACAUGCAAGUCGAACGGAAAGGCCCUGCUUUUGUGGGGUGCUCGAGUGGCGAACGGGGGAGUAACACGUGAGUAACCUGCCCUUGACUUUGGGAUAACUUCAGGAAACUGGGGCUAUUACCGGAUAGGAGCUCCUGCUGCAUGGUGGUGGUUGGAAAAUUUCGGCGGUUGGGGCUGGACUCGCGGCUUAUCAGCUUGUUGGUGGGGUAGUGGCUUACCAAGGCUUUGACGGGUAGCCGGCCUGAGAGGGUGACCGGCCACAUGGGGACUGAGAGACGGCCCAGACUCCUACGGGAGGCAGCGGGGGGGAAUAUUGCACAAUGGGCGGGAGCCUGAGGCAGCGACGCCGCGUGCGGGAUGACCGCCUUCGGGUUGUAAACCGCUUUCGCCUGUGACGAAGCGUGAGUGACGGUAAUGGGUAAAGAAGCACCGGCUAACUACGUG
Molecule: ribosomal RNA, 468 nt
Filed under: uncultured bacterium
Lineage: Bacteria
Description: partial 16S ribosomal RNA
Rfam family: Bacterial small subunit ribosomal RNA
Source: RNAcentral